AGUUGAUCAUGGCUCAGGAUGAACGCUAGCGACAGGCUUAACACAUGCAAGUCGAGGGGCAGCACGGGAGUAGCAAUACAACUGGUGGCGACCGGCGCACGGGUGAGUAACACGUGGGCAACCUGCCUCAUAGAGAGGAAUAGCCUUCCGAAAGGGAGAUUAAUACCUCAUAACAUUGCAGUUUCGCAUGGAACAGCAAUUAAAGGAGUAAUCCGCUAUGAGAUGGGCCCGCGGCGCAUUAGCUAGUUGGUGAGGUAACGGCUCACCAAGGCGACGAUGCGUAGCCGACCUGAGAGGGUGAUCGGCCACAUUGGGACUGAGACACGGCCCAGACUCCUACGGGAGGCAGCAGUGGGGAAUAUUGCACAAUGGGGGAAACCCUGAUGCCAGCAACGCCGCGUGAGUGAUGACGGCCUUCGGGUUGUAAAGCUCUGUCUUCAGGGACGAUAAUGACGGUACCUGAGGAGGAAGCCACGGCUAACUACGUGCCAGCCGCCGC
Molecule: ribosomal RNA, 499 nt
Filed under: uncultured bacterium
Lineage: Bacteria
Description: bacterial SSU rRNA
Rfam family: Bacterial small subunit ribosomal RNA
Source: RNAcentral